RNAcentral lists this unclassified non-coding RNA (230 nucleotides) under uncultured fungus. Its description in RNAcentral is "partial contains small subunit ribosomal RNA, internal transcribed spacer 1, and 5.8S ribosomal RNA". The stretch from base 1 to 73 matches the Rfam family "Eukaryotic small subunit ribosomal RNA", at positions 1759 to 1831 of the family's 1831-position model. Lineage: Eukaryota; Fungi. The record is from RNAcentral.
GCAAACUUGGUCAUUUAGAGGAAGUAAAAGUCGUAACAAGGUUUCCGUAGGUGAACCUGCGGAAGGAUCAUUUGUGAGCGAGGGGGGCUUGCCUCCCAAGCGUAUCCAAACACUGUGAACCUAAUGGCCUCUUUGGCCCUUACAAACUCUGUGUAAUGAACGUUAUACGAUAACAAAUAAAAACUUUCAACAACGGAUCUCUUGGCUCUCGCAUCGAUGAAGAACGCAGC